UACGAAGGGGGCUAGCGUUGUUCGGAAUUACUGGGCGUAAAGGGCUCGUAGGCGGCCAACUAAGUCGGACGUGAAAUCCCCAGGCUCAACCUGGGAACUGCGUCCGAUACUGGAUGGCUUGAAUCCGGGAGAGGGAUGCAGAAUUCCAGGUGUAGCGGUGAAAUGCGUAGAUAUCUGGAGGAAUACCGGUGGCGAAGGCGGCAUCCUGGACCGGCAUUGACGCUGAGGAGCGAAAGCCAGGGGAGCAAACGGG
Molecule: ribosomal RNA, 253 nt
Filed under: uncultured bacterium
Lineage: Bacteria
Description: partial 16S ribosomal RNA
Rfam family: Bacterial small subunit ribosomal RNA
Source: RNAcentral